RNAcentral lists this ribosomal RNA (465 nucleotides) under uncultured bacterium. RNAcentral describes it as "bacterial SSU rRNA". It matches the Rfam family "Bacterial small subunit ribosomal RNA", at positions 338 to 795 of the family's 1533-position model. The record is from RNAcentral.
CCUACGGGGUGCACCAGUGGGGAAUAUUGCACAAUGGGCGCAAGCCUGAUGCAGCCAUGCCGCGUGUAUGAAGAAGGCCUUCGGGUUGUAAAGUACUUUCAGCGGGGAGGAAGGUAUUGUGGUUAAUAACCACAGCAAUUGACGUUACCCGCAGAAGAAGCACCGGCUAACUCCGUGCCAGCAGCCGCGGUAAUACGGAGGGUGCAAGCGUUAAUCGGAAUUACUGGGCGUAAAGCGCACGCAGGCGGUUGAUUAAGUUAGAUGUGAAAUCCCCGGGCUUAACCUGGGAAUGGCAUCUAAGACUGGUCAGCUAGAGUCUUGUAGAGGGGGGUAGAAUUCCAUGUGUAGCGGUGAAAUGCGUAGAGAUGUGGAGGAAUACCGGUGGCGAAGGCGGCCCCCUGGACAAAGACUGACGCUCAGGUGCGAAAGCGUGGGGAGCAAACAGGAUUAGAUACCCUCGUAGUC